RNAcentral lists this unclassified non-coding RNA (387 nucleotides) under soil metagenome. Its description in RNAcentral is "partial contains 5.8S ribosomal RNA, internal transcribed spacer 2, and large subunit ribosomal RNA". The stretch from base 1 to 120 matches the Rfam family "5.8S ribosomal RNA", at positions 35 to 154 of the family's 154-position model. The record is from RNAcentral.
GAUGAAGAACGUAGUGAAAUGCGAUAAGUAAUGUGAAUUGCAGAAUUCAGUGAAUCAUCGAAUCUUUGAACGCACAUUGCGCCCAUUAGUAUUCUAGUGGGCAUGCCUGUUCGAGCGUCAUUAAUUCCACUUAAGCCCUGCUUAGUGUUGGGAAUCUACUCUAGUGGUGCUACCCUGGAGCUACCCCUGAAAGGGGGCUGGCCCGGUAGCUACCCUGUAGUUCCUCAAAGAUAGUGCGCGGAGUUGCGUGGUCCUCUGAGCUUAGUAACUAUACACCUAGCUUUUGAGUGUCCCGCGGCGCCUGCCGUUUAAACCCCAUCUUUUAAUGGUUUACCUCGGAUCAGGUAGGAAUACCCGCUGAACUUAAGCAUAUCAAUAAGCGGAGGA